This 2668-nucleotide long non-coding RNA is filed under the name Gallus gallus (chicken). The record is from RNAcentral. Lineage: Eukaryota; Metazoa; Chordata; Aves; Galliformes; Phasianidae.
GUCCUGUUACCCACAUUGGCACCGAUAAGAGAGGCAGUAGAGAUGGACCUACAAGGACUUAACGUAUAGCAAGGGCACAAAUGCUUCCAGUGAGAUGUUGUAGUGGAAAUCCUGAGUCGCGGCUUGAAGCAGUGAUUGAGCAGCUGGUGGGAAGGCAGGGCCAACCCAGGGGAGCUCAGGUGCAUGCAGUGCAGCUGAAUGACCGGAAGGGAUAGAGCCAGGAUCCACCCCUUCCCAGACCUCAUUUAAGGGCCGGCAGUGGAAGCAAAAACAUCUGUGUACUCGAGUCCUCCUGAAGAGAAUCCUUGUCUUGGCCUGAGUAGAGAGAGCACUUGCAGAACUGGUAGCUGUUUCCUGUUGAUUGUGCUUCGUGAAAUCAGUUCCUAUACAUCUUCAACUGUGCGCUGUCUUUAUCUUGAACUGAAGCAAACAGGAAAGUUUCCCAUUAGAAUGCAACUCCGAUGGACUGGAUAGCUGUGUGCCCACCCUUGAAGCUGUAAGCAUCCUGGACACCCAUUCCAGAAGGAUGUUUUUGUCAGAUGGAGAUUCCACUUUAGGAAAAUAUUAAAACAAAGAUUUCAAAGGGGCUUCAGAAAAUGCUUAAAGGCCGUAGACCAAAUGCUGUUUUGCUGUCUGAAGAGAUCUCAGCAAAGGGGCAGUAGUUAAAGAGGAACGAUUACAUUGUAAAAAGCCAUAAAACCUUCCAGGAUUCAGAGUCUCAGGGGAAAGCAGAAAGGAACCCAAGACGAAGUCACACAUUGUGGAUCCAUAGAGCCCGACAUCACUAGACUGUGUUGCCAAGAUGGCAUGGCUCAGGCAUCACUACUGGAAGUGCUGGCACUUACCUCUGGGAAAUCAGUGGGACUCACUGUGGAGCAAAGCAUUGUCAGCAAGGUCCCAUCAAGAAGUCACACUGUAUUUUUCUCCAUUGCUCCCUGUGGAGUUCAUGUGUUCAGCCUUCUUUCUAAUGAUGGCACUAAGCAGCUGUCAGCUAUUAUCUGAUGAUGUUGCUGCUUCACAGAUCUGCCUGUUUGAGUUAUAGAAGGAUGCCAGGACCACGCUGUCCUUCAUUACGUGAUGGAGACUCGGUUGCUCUUACAGAAACUCUGAAUCCUGCUGGCUGCUGUAAAGAAAUGAGAAGGAAGUUUCAGUCUUCCAGUUGGAGAGGAGUGACACAGAUGUUUAAGACGCAAGCAGCUUAGAUGUAACACAUUGUAAUAAAGUGUUGCCGUGCUAGGCAAAUGUAUGAGAAUGAUGAAUUCAGUAGUACGCGAGAAGAGGUCAGAUGCUGCAUUGAGUAUCUUCCGUGAGCGAGGAAAUGCUGAACUUCAGCUCAGUAUAUCACUGCUGAAGCUGUGCCCGGCCAUGGGAGAUGACAAGCAGUUGCUACCAGCCAAGCUUUAAAUUAGGAGAGAAGAACCUUUUUCAUUACAUUCCAAAGAAUUGUGAAAGAUGUGGAAAUCACUGCUUGGAAAACUGUACUUCUACAGGGAGCUGAGUGAAGUCCUACUGAUUCUCACUGCAAUGAAGUACUCAGGACACUUUUUUUGAGCCCACCACUACAGUCAUCACAAAGACAACACUUAGUCCAAGAAGAUUCUAGGCCUUCUUCAGAAGGUGCUGCUAAUUCCCCUAUUUUCUUCCAGAAAUGGGAAAAAUGAUCUAUAUUAGGAAAUGCGUUCUUCCUUUCUUCAUAUUUUGAAUUACGGCGCUAGGAAAAUAUUUCUCAAGUGGUUAACUUGAGUUUGACUUCCAACAUCUCUUUAUUUGGGAAGAAAUGAAUUCAAUGGUUCUUUUUAGCACUUGUGAAAAUGAAGGAUAGUUGUGCCUGCACUACAAGAAAGGUGAUUUAGUCGCUCUACUUGAUCAGUACUUUUUGAGGGAGACUUGCCAAAUUCAUCGGUGCUGAUCUGGAAGCCAAAAUAGAUAUCCAUGUGUUUUGAAGAGCGGAAAUGCUGGAACGCAGCUGGAAAGCGGCUCAGGGCUCCUGCCAGUCAUACCGGCUCACCACUAAGAGGGCACAGAUCUCAUGACUGCUAUCCUGAGAAACCUGCUGUCUGCCAGACCCACAGAUGUGUGAGGCUGAAUGGCCAUCCUUCUGAUGGAAUGCAACAGUGAAGUACUCCAAGAGAAAACCUGAAUGACAGUCCUCCUUCCAAGAAAAGAUGAAAUCUUUCCCUCUUGAAGACUUAAAGGUGUGCAGGUAUCAUUAAAGCAUAUACUUUGGAGGCAGUGCUUAAUGUGAGUUGUGUUUUCAGAUUGUUGAAAUGGGUUGGGAGACACCGUAGCUCAUUGUUUUCUGGAAGUGAGUUUCACACACUGCAAAGUCACAUGGGGAUUUCUUUUGGUUGCUCAUGUUGACAGCCAAGCUUGAAGCCACAAAAUGUAGUUGCUGAAGUCCAUAGAAUCAUUGGCUGUAGUGCUGUCCCUAUGACAAAUGGUGCCAGGCUCAAGAGCUAAUGAUCUAAAUGGACAUGGCCAGUGCAGUGAUAAGGGAACAGAUGUAGACACUAAGGAAAGAAAUGUUAUAAUUGGUGCUUUUCUGCAUUAACAAUAAUGUCCUCAUCCAGCGUUCCCUCAUAUACCUGGAAUUAAGAUGCCAAAUGCCCAUUGUGUCAAAGUGAGGCUCACAGGAUGCAGGUGUGGAAGAGGUGAACCGGCAUUUGCU